Molecule: long non-coding RNA, 4923 nt
Organism: Alligator sinensis (Chinese alligator)
Lineage: Eukaryota; Metazoa; Chordata; Crocodylia; Alligatoridae
Exons: 3
Source: RefSeq, a predicted model, not a curated record
GAGACAGGCAGCCAAUCAGCGUCGGGUGUGGGAGCACGCGGGGCGGGGCCCACUACCCCCUGAGCGGCCCGCAGCUACCUCACCCGCCCCUCGGCGUGACGUCAGUGCUGUUAUGUCAUUGCCACCCCAAGCACCCACUCAAGGGCCCGCCCUGUUUCUAGGGGAGCCCAACGUGGAGACCAGACCCGAGGCAAAGCUCAGGGCUGCCGGUUUCUCAGGCUGGCUUGGAUCGCCUGUUCCCAGGGCAGGGAGACCCACAGGUGGGAGGAGGGCAGGGCCCCCCAUGCAUCCAAGGAGUCCUUUCAAGAGCUCCGGCUGAGGAACCGGCACCGCCGUCAGCACCUGGAAACCGGGGGAGCUGUGCAGGAUGCGAGGCUGUGGGGAUGGCGCUGCUCCAGCCUGCCCUCUUUAAGCAGGAACACAUGUUCAGUGCUUGGGGCUGCCAGCACUUUGCUAGCGGCCAGUUUUAGCCUCUGGCUCCUCACGGCCUCCUCCAGCUGUACAAACACCCUUGUGUCCCUAUGCGGACUAGAAGCAGCCAACUGAGCACUCCUUCCUUCUCCUGCUCAGCUGGCUGCAGCAUGGCCUUUUCCUUGCUGCCUCCAGGCAAUGCUGGUUGAAGCCAUACGUUGCCGGCAAACUUCUUGCGCACUCUAACCGCGCUUUCAGCAGCGUGAGAUGCCUGCACAGCAAGCAGUUGGUUUUCCAUGGAGAUGAUUCCUUCGCAGCUGAACGUGCCUGACCAAAGCGCAAUGGAUGUUGGAUGGAUGUCACGAGUGGAGGGGAAAGCUGGUUACAGGAGAGUGCCUCGAACAAUUUUGACCUAUAUUUCCUAUAACUGAGAACCCAGUGGCUGUCAUUUGAGGACAAUGUUCAUUUGCUAGGAGUUAUGGCAGUUUCAUAAGCUCCCAGGAAAGUAUACACCACAGAACUGCAAUUUACCUGCUCCAAAAUAUUUUAGUUGAUAAUAAGCUUAAAUAGCUCAAGAAUAAAACUGCUGACUCUCACUUCGGCUCCUGGCUGACAUUAUGAUUUAGGUGCAAUUACCCUGUUAACAGUGCCAUGAAAACUUGAAGAGUACUCCUGCCACAAGUUCAGGCAAUUAAUGGCUUGACAAAACAAGUCCCCAGCCACAAAAGUGGGCCACAAAGGUAAAUAACAUUUUUGUGGCUGGUUUCCAUUGCAUCUUAAAUUGGCAGGGUAGCCCUGCCAUGUGGGCUGAUGCUGGCUUCAUGGCAGGGCUUGCUUGACAGCUCCCCCAUGUCAGCAGGCUGAGAGUUUUGUGGUGAAUCCCUGCAUCCUGCUGUAUUCAGAUCCUGAGCUGAGGGGAGCUCAUCAGCUGGGCUGGGAUGCACACACGGGAACUUUGUGGCUGACAGGGAUAGUAAUGUGUUCUCCAGCAGUGCAUCGCUUUUUGUCUUUCAGAAACCUCCCCGUUUCAUCUUUUGUACACCUUUUAACUUCUGCAACAUAUACAUAUAAAGAAGUCUCCUUGACCACAUAUCCCUGAAUGACCCACAAGGCAGGUGGGAAAACACUGUUUGCAGCCAUGUUCUCCGUUUCUCCCCUGAUCAGUUACAACAGAGGUGUCAAAAUAUAUGGUGUGCGGACAGGAGCUAGCCUGUGGGACUGCUUAGGUGACGCCUGCCAGAGAAUCCAGGACCCUUGGGCCCUGGUGGACGUUGGAACAUAAAAGGGGGUGAGCUGUGCUUUAAUAAUUAGUUAGCUAUUUUGAGCAUCUCUGAAGACAGAAUCUUGUAACUUAUUUGUAACCCCUGUUAGUAAGCAAGACACAAGGGGACGUGGUUUCACAACUCAGACUUUAAAGGAAACAGUCUGGGACAGCACCGUGCAGGGGGCACGUAAGCAAGUGAAAUGACUGGACGCCAGUAUGGUACAGCGAGCAACUGCAAAAGUUGCCAGGAAACCAUGCAUACAUUUGUAGAACUUAAACUGAAUUUUGAAAUGUGAUUGGCUCAUUCAAAGGUGAUUAGUUCACUCUCAACACCAUAGCAACCCACCUUCAAUGAAAUAUAAGAAGCUUAAGCUUCAGAAGCAAGUUGGAAUCAUCAGAAAUUCACCUCACAGCACUCAAUCCCCAAGAUAUACUAGACGCCUGGUCAGCAGACCCUGGGAAUCCUAGCACUGAAGUCUUCCUAUCCUACUUGCAGCUGCAUUUGCGUGGCAUGUGACAUUGCUUAUUGGGCAAGUUUGUAGUUCGUUAAUAAAAUCAAGCCAAUUACUGGAAUGGUUCCUUGAUCUUAAACACUACUCCACCUACCAAUCCCAAAGUUAUUUCUGCUAUCCCUAACAGACAUGGCCAUUGGCAGCAGGUUGCCCCAGACACCUUGUUUACCCUCUGGCCGCUUGACCUAUCGCCGUUGCUGGACCCAGCUCCUCAACCACUGGCCCUGUCAAGGCCCCAUGCUGCAGCUGCCACGGGACACGUGGAGGGAGCCACCGUUGCACCUCAAACCUUGUACCAGAGACACAGCUGGCACUGCAGCCAUGUCUCAAGUCAAAGCCAAAGUAACUACAGCUGUAUGCCCCAGGUGGGAUCUAGCCAGAAAGCAGCACCAGGACAUAAGAUGAGUCUGAUACCCCUGAGUUAUACAAUCAAAUUCUAGGUAUGCAGACAGGACCUAGAAGUGGUCUAUACCAUGGCCUAUAAUCAGGACAAUAGAAAAAUUAUCAAAAAAUCCCCCUCAAAAUUCCCCCAACAUAAAAAGUUAUUUCUUGCACAAUGAAGCCAGAACUAAUAGAAACAGCCAGCAUACAUCCAGCUAGCCCAACAAGCAGGAUAAUAACAGUGAAAAGUUAGGAAAAAUAAGAGAGAUGUUACCACAGAACAAUAAAAAUGUGACCACUGAACUGUUCCUUCAUAUAAACAGAAUAUAUGUUGAAUUGUUUUCAAUCGUACAGGUUAUCCAGAAAGCAUUGACAAUAGACUCAUCUGUUGUCCAGAAAUUGUAUCCAAAAUAACAGCAACUGAACUCAGUAAUACUUGGAUAAGGAAUUCAGAUGGUCAGGUGGUAAAUUUGCAGAUUCUCUCUGAAGAGGGCUGAUACUGAAAUAGAGACACGUCACUUCUUCAACAGAAUGAAGCUCAACUGAGGGUACUGGACUUCAGAUUUAUCUGCCUGGAAAAUGGAAUUAUUUGAUCCAUCUGGCAAAGUAAGACUUGGAGGAAAGCAUAGCCCUUUCAUGAGACUGCCAAUACCACAAGAAAGGCAUUAGACUUUCUCCAUCAAUUAGAAUGGCUCAGAAACUACUGUCCAGACCACUUCCUUAAAAUAAAAAUGUAUUUAAGUGGUCAAAAGGCUUAUGACUGCAGAAGGAAAAAAAAGUAACCGUCUAUUUCAGGUAGAUUUAUUAUAAGCUUACCAAAGUUGAGGGCUGAUUUGCAGACCACUUUACCAGGCAGCAAUCUGUUGGGGGCUCAUCAGUUGGAAGCAUAAGAGUAAAAGAAGGACCUGUACAAACUAGUUGAUCACGGAUGACUAUAAGCUAAUGUGAUGAAUAGACAAAUAUGAUCCAAGAUGAGGUGAGACCUCAUUGGGAACAAUAUGUCCAAAUCUGGUUCCUCAUUCAAGCAUGUGAACUGUGUAGAAAAGGGCUAUUAGAAUGACCAGGAGAAUAUUGUAAUGAGAAGAAACACAGUUGUAGAUGAGAAGACUUAAAAACAAAAAAAAACAAAAAACAAAAAAAACGAACAUGGCUCACUUAACCUAAAAUAAAAGAUAUGAUUGGGGAGUUUCAUAAAAGUUUGAUUGGGCUGACUUGCAGGCUGGUUUUGCUCCCUUUGCUCCUCAGUCAGUCCUCUAUACACAAACACAAUCUUUGUAUUUAAAUAAAAAAGCAAGCAAAUAAAAUGGUCAGCCCUUCUCUGGGUGAUAGCAGAAGCUUUUUAGCUCUGGCAGUGUACUGUCUAGUAGUCCUGGUAGCGAGCUUACCUGGAUUCCAGCCUGCCUCCUAACCACAAGCUGCUCCUUCCCCCAGCUUGCCACUCUCUGUUCUCUACCUUGGGGUUUUUAACUGCUAGUGGGAUAUGCCCCCUCAUUAGAUAACAACCUGCUGUGGGUUCAGUCUACAACAAGGCUGUCUACUCCCUCUUAAGCUGCAUACAGGCACUCAUUUCUACUGGAAAUGAGAAAUCCUUCCAGGAGAGGAAGCAGUACAAACAUUCAGUCUGCAGCCACUCCCUCUUGCCUACUCUCCAUGCCUUCCCAAAUCUAGGAUAUAAUCCUGAUCUGGGGAAGGCAAAGGGAGCAGUGCCUGCUCCACCUCUCCUAAUCCUCGGGGAGAGUGGAGCAGCAAGGAAAGACUCCCUGCAUCUGCCCCAGAUCAAGUUCAGGGGAACAGGACUGAGAAGCAGCUGCCUCCACUUCAUGCUCAGUCUAUGGGAGCGGAGAGAAACUGCUGCAAAGCAGGGCAGUGUCUAGCUUGCAGAAGAGGCAGGGAGCAGCAGCUCUUCUCCUCUCCUGAACCAGUCUGAGAGGAAAAGAAAUAGUGAGGCAUAGCCCCCAGCUCCUUCCCCAAGCUGGGUACUUUCCUGGCUUGGAUAAGGGGCUAGAGGAGGAAGGAAAUGGGAAGGAGGAGGAACUAGGAAACAGUGACACUCCCUGAACUCGGCUUCUGCAAGCCAAGCAGAGGAAGAAAUGGGGUAAAGCCCCUGCCCACUUUUAAAGAGCAGGGUAGCCCUCAUCUCAGGAAGGUAUAGGAGCCUUUUCCCCUUCACCUGGUCUCCUGGUCCUGGAGACAGGGGAAAGUAUCCAGACAUUCAGUCUCCUGGGAACAACUUAACCCUGAUUGUUCCAGGGUUACUUUUCUCCCAGAGCAGCCAUUUUUGCUUCACGAGACAAAAAAACUGAUUGUCUGUACACUUCUGGUUUCUACCAGGAGAAGAGUGAUUCUCCAUGUAGA